RNAcentral lists this long non-coding RNA (817 nucleotides) under Sorghum bicolor (sorghum). RNAcentral describes it as "long non-coding RNA (SBIC_LNC005196)". Lineage: Eukaryota; Viridiplantae; Streptophyta; Magnoliopsida; Poales; Poaceae. The record is from RNAcentral.
GAUGUUAAUUCAAAUUGUGGUUUAAAUAGCUUGUCAAAACAAGUUCGCUUGCUGAGAUGUUUCAUCUCACCCUUGCUUUACUCAAUCCAGGUACUUGAUGCUUACUUGGAAGGGAAGGGAAUUAGCUGCACGUCACACACUUCUUCAUUUAGAGACCUUGUGUUUUAAUAAAUAAUAAUUUGGUUUGCUUAUUAGUUUUGAAGGCGGUUGUUAAAGUGUGGAUGUUAAACUUAAUUCUUGUUGAAGUAAUUUAUUUGCGUUAGGAUGUUCAUUAAUCCUAGUUUGGUAUUUCAUUUAUUUUUAUAUUUUAUUCUUCCGCUUGCUAUAAAUACAAAGGAGAUGCUGCCAAAUUGUUUAUUGGUUGUGUGCAGCUGUUGUUUGUGUAGUCUAGUAGCAUCCGGGUGUAUUUGUGGUUUUCGGGGUGUUACACCACAUGUCUAUCUAGGGUUUUGGUUCAUCCAUUUAUUCGUCCCAAAUUGUACUCUGUUUCGAGCCCAGUGGCCAUGGUUGCAACUGAAUCUAGUGAUGAGAAGGUGAUGGGCGAAUUGAUGUCCAUUUUUUCCUGAAUCUGGAGCCUAGCGCGUAUGCAUGUUGCUUUUUCCCGUGCUACCAUGCUGGUGCGUCUCUUCUGAGAUGGCUAUAGAGGCCUUGGGCGUAUGCCCCACUCAGUUCUUUACAAUGCAACAUAUUUGCUUGAAUUAAGUGAACAUAGGUAUGACAGAUUGUUUGCUUUUUUCCUAAUUUUAUUUUAUUUUGUAUUUUACCGUAGCAGCUAAUGGUUUAGGGUUUUGGCUCAUCCCCACUUUAUUUAGCAUGU